Molecule: ribosomal RNA, 449 nt
Filed under: uncultured bacterium
Lineage: Bacteria
Description: partial 16S ribosomal RNA
Rfam family: Bacterial small subunit ribosomal RNA
Source: RNAcentral
AACGAACGCUGGCGGCAUGCCUAACACAUGCAAGUCGAACGAGAUCUUCGGGUCUAGUGGCGCACGGGUGCGUAACGCGUGGGAAUCUGCCCUUUGGUUCGGAAUAACAGUUGGAAACGACUGCUAAUACCGGAUGAUGACGAAAGUCCAAAGAUUUAUCGCCAGAGGAUGAGCCCGCGUAGGAUUAGCUAGUUGGUGUGGUAAGGGCGCACCAAGGCGACGAUCCUUAGCUGAUCUGAGAGGAUGAUCAGCCACACUGGGACUGAGACACGGCCCAGACUCCUACGGGAGGCAGCAGUGGGGAAUAUUGGACAAUGGGCGAAAGCCUGAUCCAGCAAUGCCGCGUGAGUGAUGAAGGCCUUAGGGUUGUAAAGCUCUUUUACCCGGGAUGAUAAUGACAGUACCGGGAGAAUAAGCUCCGGCUAACUCCGUGCCAGCAGCCGCCGUAA